GAGGGUGAAAGCGGGGGAUCGCAAGACCUCGCGCGAUUGGAGCGGCCGAUAUCAGAUUAGGUAGUUGGUGAGGUAAAGGCUCACCAAGCCGACGAUCUGUAGCUGGUCUGAGAGGACGACCAGCCACACUGGGACUGAGACACGGCCCAGACUCCUACGGGAGGCAGCAGUGGGGAAUUUUGGACAAUGGGCGCAAGCCUGAUCCAGCCAUGCCGCGUGCGGGAAGAAGGCCUUCGGGUUGUAAACCGCUUUUGUCAGGGAAGAAAAGGUUCUGGCUAAUACCUGGGACUCAUGACGGUACCUGAAGAAUAAGCACCGGCUAACUACGUGCCAGCAGCCGCGGUAAUACGUAGGGUGCAAGCGUUAAUCGGAAUUACUGGGCGUAAAGCGUGCGCAGGCGGUUAUGCAAGACAGAGGUGAAAUCUCCG
RNAcentral lists this ribosomal RNA (428 nucleotides) under uncultured Roseateles sp. Its description in RNAcentral is "bacterial SSU rRNA". It matches the Rfam family "Bacterial small subunit ribosomal RNA", at positions 196 to 605 of the family's 1533-position model. Lineage: Bacteria; Pseudomonadati; Pseudomonadota; Betaproteobacteria; Burkholderiales; Sphaerotilaceae. The record is from RNAcentral.